Homo sapiens (human) is the source of this 2126-nucleotide long non-coding RNA. RefSeq annotates it as PRORY Y-linked lncRNA. The transcript has 5 exons. NCBI's taxonomy places the organism in Eukaryota, Metazoa, Chordata, Mammalia, Primates, Hominidae. The record is from RefSeq and is marked validated.
CUUUAUCUCCGCCGGACUCGGGGUACCUGCCGGAUUCGAGGUAACCGCCAGCUGGUGUGGGGCUGGUUUCCCCAACAUCUGGUGGCCAACGCGGGGCUCCCCAUAAUCUCUACAAAUAAUCCAGUGAAGGAACGCCAGAGCGUGCAAAGUGGAGGACGACUGACAAAGGACACCUGAAUAUGUUUUCACUUCAAGCUCUACAGGAGGACAAGGACUCAGGGGUCUGCUGGUCCAUCUCUGCACCUUGAAACAGCAGCUGGGGCACCAGAAGUAACCCUUACAGCCAACACCAUGUGAUGAUGAGGAGGAGUCCAUCUGGGUUAAAGAGCCCACGUGUGAGCCAAGGCAGGAAACCCCGGGAUCCAGAAAGCCUUCUGUUUUUGCGAUGCUGCCUGGGAUCGGAGCCGCACAACCUGUCCUCAUUGCUCUCUCCGGAGGCCGGGCAGGAACCUCUGCCAAAGCUUCUACCUCAGCCGCUGGCAGGCCAUGCGGCCUGGGGCAUUCACGGAGUUCCAACGAGUCUGUUACUGGCUGGGGAGUGCUGGGGCCAGGGCAUGGCCGUGCCCGCUGAUCCUCCUCCUGCCUCUCCAUAUCGGACUUCUCCUCGACCACCACCUGGACCACUGCCACGAUAUCGUCCACAGCAGCACCUUCUCCUCCCCCUAGGGCGCCUCCACGCUCUGUGCCCUGGCUGUCCUCUCCAGCAGAGCCUCCAAUUUGAACGGGGUACACUGUCCGCUCCACGUCUGUGGUCAUGGAUGAAGCUGGAAACCAUCAUACUAAGCAAACUAUCACAAGGACAGAAAACCAAACACCGCAUGUUCUCACUGAUAAGUGAGAGUUGAACAAUGAGAACACAUGGACACAGGGCAGGGAACAUCACCCACCGAGGCCGGUCGCGGGGGUGGGGGGUUGAGGGAGGGAUAGCAUUUGGAGAAAUACCUAAUGUAAAUGACGAGUUGAUAGGGGCAGCAAACAAACAUGGAACAUGUAUCCCUAUGUUACAAACCUGCACGUUGUGUACAUGUACCCUAGAACUUACAGGAUAAUAAAACAAAAAAAAAAAAAAAGAAAAAAAAAACCUUAAAAUUAAAAAUAGCUCUCCAAACCCAAAUACUAAAUAGAAAAUGAGAAUCAAGUGGCCUAGAAUGUAACUUAAAUGAAAAUGUCACAAACAUUCAGCAGAUAGUUUCUAAAUGCCACAAUAAGCCUGGCAGUCUGCAAGAAGCUCAGAAAAACACUGUUUCCUUGCUAUUUUGAGUGUGCAGUAGAAACAGGUACAGAGAUAAAUGAGGAAUAGUAAGUGUGAUAACUGCUGUAAUAGGCAAAUACAGGCAAUAUAACUGCAAAUAAGGGCAACGAUUUUGAUAAGCAAAACAUUAAUAAAAGAUGAAACAUUAAAAAAAGACUCAUGAUUUUAAUAAACAUUGCCUUCUUCACUCCAGAAGAAAACUCAUGCCUCUGCUUUACUGGUUGACAUGUUCUUAAAGAGAUGUAACAGCUCUGAUUUCUGUUACUAAAUCACAUUUUCGUCACUUAUGAAACACAAGUUUAAAAUUCCUUUUGAAGGUCAAAUGAGAAUAUUUGCUGUUACUGGAUGAACUGUCAAGUGCUACCCAAAUAUUAUUUUCUCACAGGGAUUGAUAUCAUGUGUAUGUCAUAUGGUCAAUGUAGCAUUCUCAUAAAGGAAACCUUGAAAUGUGUCUGCUGCUCAUUUUUGAUUUUUCAGCUGUUUCGGUCAUUGUUAUUUAUCAUAUGCUUCCUAGGGGCUUUUGAAUUUUAAUCAGAAUAUGUAAAAACCGAAAAGAGAAGGACAAUGAAAUUGCAAGACUACAGUCAUAAUAAUUUCAUUGAUUAAUUCAAUUGUUUAUAGAGCAAGAUUACAUUAUAUUUCUCCCAAAAGAUUCUUGGAGAAAUUCUAAGAUGAUGCACCCAGUGUUUGAAAUGGCUGUAAAGUUGUUGCUUAAGUUAGAGCUAACUCUUUUUAGAGCAUGAAGAUACAUUAAUAGUUUCAUGUAUUAAAACAGAGAAAAUAGGAUUUUUAGUGCUAGUUGCUCUCACCAGAAAUAAUCAUAGCUUUUAAACUGUUCUUUAUGUCAAAAUAAACUUUUCAUUUUCCUACCUCA